ACCAUCAACAACAACAACACACACACACACACACACACACACACACACACACACCACAUGAUUGCUUGCUUGCUUAGGGAGGAAUCAGAGCUUCAAAAGUGAGCUGAUUCCAGCCACCAGCUGUCAUCAUAUGAGGAGCUCUUGUGAGUUGAUCGCCCAUGAAAGAGGAAUGAGCCUCUAAACAUGGCCACAGCUCAGUGAUACUGACCAACCAGACAUACCUUUGCUGGACCUAUGCAAACAUGAAACAGACCCUAAGAUGUGGAACUGCCUGAAGUGAGCAAUCUGACCACCAGGGGGCAGCAUGAGUCCAUCGCUUUGUCUGAAAACAGACAGGUCCUAGUCAGCGGCCCUCCUCUCCAAGCAAGCUGAGUCUGCACGUUGGAGUCAUCUGAUGAGCUUUUAGAAAACUGCAGGUGGGUGGGCUCACUUCAAUUGCCAUCUCCUGUCUUCGGGAGUGGGGCGUGGACAUCGCCAUUAUUUAAAAGUUCCUCAGGUGAGUCUGAUGCACAACGUUGAAAACCACUCGGAGAGGACUGAAUCUGUGAAAACUGUAAAGGCUUCUAGGAAUCAGCCAGCCCAGCCCAUGUGUUUCCAUUUUGCAGCUUCAGGAGCUGAGGCCCAGAGAUAGAAACAGUAGGCUUAGGGGUACUUGGAAGACAGCACCAGAACCCAGGACCCUAACAUUCGGCCCAGUUCUCCUUCUUCUCUGUAGCACGUGGUCGUCCAUAUUUCGGCUGGGCCUGGGCAUCAGAGGACACCAGGGACCACUCCUCCCCUCCCCUCCGAGAGCAGAGUGGUGCAGUCCCUCCUGGCUUAAGGAGCUCCUCACUGACAGGAGAAUUCAGAACUGGCCUGCAGAAAUCAACUGGAGAACCUCCCAACCACGUGUGCAUGAGGUUCAAUGCCCGCAGGACAUUCUUGGGGAGCCCCAAAAACCCCGACCUGAGAAAGCUCUAGAAGCACAGCAUUAGCUCACCACCCACCCCGUACGUCUUGAGUGCUUUGCGAUACCACAGGGUUGUCUGUGACACGUCCAGCCCAGCACUGCCCUGCUCUGCCUGCCUGUCUUUGGGAGGAUGGAUCUGAGGUUCAUGAACACUCCACUUCUCCUCUUGUAGGAUUCUCUCCAGUAAAGCCUCCCCUGCAUUUUAUACCACAUGGUACCGGAGAGGGUUGCCUUUGUCCUUUUUCCAUGACACCUGGCCACCACACAGGCACAUCAUUUUCCCAAUGCUGGGUGUUCUUGGAAGAGGCCUUGUUCCCUAAUACUGAGUGUUUUUGGAAGAGUCCUUGUUCCUGAUGCUGGGCAUUUCUGGAAGAGGCCUUUUUCACUGGGGCCUCCCUAAGCAUGGGUGGGUAAUAAUUUGUUCCUAAACAUCCUGGCAGGUCCCAGCGUUUUUAUAUGGUUGGUAUGGGGAGAAAUGAGAGUAGGUAAUGGAUGCUAGCCUCUGUCUGCAAGGCGAUACACACUUUUCAAA
RNAcentral lists this long non-coding RNA (1481 nucleotides) under Homo sapiens (human). RNAcentral's name for it is "HSALNT0362218". Lineage: Eukaryota; Metazoa; Chordata; Mammalia; Primates; Hominidae. The record is from RNAcentral.